This 438-nucleotide ribosomal RNA is filed under the name Triticum aestivum (bread wheat). Its description in RNAcentral is "partial small subunit ribosomal RNA". The record is from RNAcentral. Lineage: Eukaryota; Viridiplantae; Streptophyta; Magnoliopsida; Poales; Poaceae.
AUGAUAAGUCCUAGGAGCCUAGUUCAGCAGGCAAAGAAGUGGCAGCAGAUGGCAGCCCUCAGGAAGCGGAGGCCAGCGACGAUGGGGCCGAUCCACGACGCCAACCUGCGGGGCGCAUCGGCCAUCGCAGACAAGGGCCACUGCGUUGUCUACACCACCGGUGGAGAGCGGUUCGAGGUCCCGCUGGCGUACCUCAGUACAACGGUGUUCGGGGAACUCCUGAGGAUGUCGGAGGACGAGUUCGGGUUCACGAGUGAAGACAGGAUCACGGUACCUUGCAACGCGGCGGUGAUGGCGUAUGUGAUAUGCUUGCUUAAAAGAAAGCCUUCAGAGGAGGUGGAGAGAGCCGUCCUUAGCUCUGUGGUAAUGCCACGCAGCAACCAGAGUGGCAUCGCCAUGGUUUGCACGGGUCUUGGCCAGUCAAUGGCUAUAUUUUAG